ACCCUCCACCGCUCCCCAAACGGGUCCGGCGUCCUCAUCGCAUGGCCAGAAGGCGGGGAGCGAGAGGCGCCGGGACCCUAGCGUGGCGCUCCAGCACCCCGGACCGUCGCGGCGCCUCGCCUUAGGGAAGAGCAAGAAAAGAACUUUAUUUGAACCGCGAACAUUUUUUGGUCACUGAGAUUGAGUCUCCCAGUGCUUUGGCUUCCCGCCUCUUUAUCGUGGGUUUGAUCCCUGAGCUGCUCUCCUUUCCCGAACCUCCCGGGGUGCAGCCGAGAGCCCUCCCGCGCGCCUGACUCCAGAGCAGAGGAAGGGAGGCGGCCUCCGGCUGGUCCCCCCGAAGCCCUUGCUGCCCCGCAGAUGCGGAUGGCCAGGCAGUAGCGGGCGGUGGCCCCGCGUCCCGGGAGCGCACAGCAAUGCAGGCGCUCAACAUUACCCCGGAGCAGUUCUCCCGGCUGCUGCGGGACCACAACCUGACGCGGGAGCAGUUCAUCGCUCUGUACCGGCUGCGACCGCUGGUCUACACCCCAGAGCUGCCGGGGCGCGCCAAGCUGGCCCUCGUGCUCACCGGCGUGCUCAUCUUCGCCCUGGCGCUCUUUGGCAAUGCUCUGGUGUUCUACGUGGUGACCCGCAGCAAGGCCAUGCGCACCGUCACCAACAUCUUUAUCUGCUCCUUGGCGCUCAGUGACCUGCUCAUCACCUUCUUCUGCAUUCCCGUCACCAUGCUCCAGAACAUUUCCGACAACUGGCUGGGGGGUGCUUUCAUUUGCAAGAUGGUGCCAUUUGUCCAGUCUACCGCUGUUGUGACAGAAAUCCUCACUAUGACCUGCAUUGCUGUGGAAAGGCACCAGGGACUUGUGCAUCCUUUUAAAAUGAAGUGGCAAUACACCAACCGAAGGGCUUUCACAAUGCUAGGUGAGGCCACUGGAUGUGCCAAUGGCAGUGUGAAUGACAUUCUUCAUUACAGAAUAGAGAACCAUAUUUUUAAACUAGAAGCAUAGCUUCUUAUCUAACUUGUAGGCAUUGGAAUAUAAUUUGAGAGUUUCAGUGCUUUCCCUGUUUGCCUUCAUCUCCACACCAUCUCUCUUUUAGGCUGACCUCAGCACUGAAAAUGUAUCAUUUUGGGUAUACUUUUUCAGUUUACAUCUUAAAUAUUUAAGCACUACGUUCAGCUAAUCUAAGAUAACCUGUCAGUGGCAUUGCUACAUUAACAUUCAUUAGAUUGAGAACUGUC
RNAcentral lists this small RNA (1231 nucleotides) under Pongo abelii (Sumatran orangutan). Its description in RNAcentral is "retained intron". Lineage: Eukaryota; Metazoa; Chordata; Mammalia; Primates; Hominidae. The record is from RNAcentral.